GUGGGGAAUAUUGGACAAUGGGCGCAAGCCUGAUCCAGCCAUGCCGCAUGAGUGAAGAAGGCCCUAGGGUUGUAAAGCCCUUUUGUACGGGAAGAAAUCCUGUCGGUUAAUACCCGGCGGGGAUGACGGUACCGUAAGAAUAAGCACCGGCUAACUUCGUGCCAGCAGCCGCGGUAAUACGAAGGGUGCAAGCGUUAAUCGGAAUUACUGGGCGUAAAGCGUGCGUAGGCGGUUCGUUAAGUCCGUUGUGAAAGCCCUGGGCUCAACCUGGGAAUGGCAGUGGAUACUGGCGGACUAGAGUCAGGUAGAGGGUGGCGGAAUUCCCGGUGUAGCGGUGAAAUGCGUAGAGAUCGGGAGGAACAUCCGUGGCGAAGGCGGCCACCUGGACCAUGACUGACGCUGAGGCACGAAAGCUAGGGUAGCAA
RNAcentral lists this ribosomal RNA (425 nucleotides) under uncultured bacterium. RNAcentral's name for it is "bacterial SSU rRNA". It matches the Rfam family "Bacterial small subunit ribosomal RNA", at positions 354 to 771 of the family's 1533-position model. The record is from RNAcentral.